RNAcentral lists this ribosomal RNA (424 nucleotides) under uncultured bacterium. RNAcentral's name for it is "partial 16S ribosomal RNA". It matches the Rfam family "Bacterial small subunit ribosomal RNA", at positions 360 to 776 of the family's 1533-position model. The record is from RNAcentral.
AAUAUUGGACAAUGGGCGAAAGCCUGAUCCAGCCAUGCCGCGUGUGUGAAGAAGGUCUUCGGAUUGUAAAGCACUUUAAGCUGGGAGGAAGGGAUGUAGGUUAAUACCCUGCAAUUUUGACGUUACCAACAGAAUAAGCACCGGCUAACUUCGUGCCAGCAUCCGCGGUAAUACGAAGGGUGCAAUCGUUAAUCUGAAUUACUAGUGGUAAAGCGAGCGUGUGUGGUUCGUUAAGUUGGAAGUGAAAGCCCCGGGCUCAACCUGGGAACUGCUUUCAAAACUGGCAAGCUAGAGUAUGGCAGAGGGUGGUGGAAUUUCCUGUGUAGCGGUGAAAUGCGUAGAUAUAGGAAGGAACACCAGUGGCGAAGGCGACCACCUGGGCUAAUACUGACACUGAGGUGCGAAAGCGUGGGGAGCAAACAGG